RNAcentral lists this ribosomal RNA (427 nucleotides) under uncultured bacterium. RNAcentral describes it as "bacterial SSU rRNA". It matches the Rfam family "Bacterial small subunit ribosomal RNA", at positions 506 to 931 of the family's 1533-position model. The record is from RNAcentral.
UGCCAGCAGCCGCGGUAAUACGUAGGGGGCAAGCGUUGUCCGGAUUUACUGGGCGUAAAGAGCGCGUAGGCGGAAGCUUAAGUGUGGCCUGAAAGCCCCCGGCUCAACCGGGGAAGGUGGCUGCAAACUGGGCUUCUUGAGGGGGAUAGAGGAAAGUGGAAUUCCGGGUGUAGCGGUGAAAUGCGUAGAGAUCCGGAGGAACACCAGUGGCGAAGGCGGCUUUCUGGGUCCGCCCUGACGCUGAGGCGCGAAAGCGUGGGGAGCGAACGGGAUUAGAUACCCCGGUAGUCCACGCCGUAAACGAUGGUCACCAGGUGUGUGCGGUAUCGACCCCGCACGUGCCGUCGCUAACGCUUUAAGUGACCCGCCUGGGGAGUACGGCCGCAAGGUUGAAACUCAAAGGAAUUGACGGGGGCCCGCACAAGCC